CCCAAGCUUAUGCAUCUCAUUGAUAAAUAUAAGAAGGGUUUUGAGAUUCAAUAUGAAGGGAAAUUCAAUUAAAAUCAAUGUCUAGACACUAUAUUAAAAUCAUUUCAUAACCAACCAGAUACAAGGUGAACAAAGUACCAAAACUGAAAAAAUUGAAGGGCAGAAAACAUUUAAGCCUUAUUCUUUGGCAUCAGCCCCAUUUGUUGUUGCAUCCAUAGGCUCAGCUUCUGUCGACUCCUCUGCUUUGUCACCCUUCUUAGCUUUCUUCUUCUUUCCACCACCUUUCUUCUUGGUCUUUGUACCCAAAGCUAACCACGCCUUGAUUUCAGGAUCAUCUAUUGUCUUGGUGGGCUGCAACUCCUGAAGAGGAUGAGAUGUGAUCCUGUCUGACCCAUUUGGCAUUAACAAAACUGUGAAUUUGAUAUGAGCAACUAGAUCACCAGGCUUCUCGUGAAGAACAGGAUAUGGCUGUAGAAGAUCAUGAUUCACACAUUCCACCAAUCCCAGUCUAGCUCUUUUCUCUUCCAAGGAUCUGGCAGUGAAUGGCAUGAUGGGAAAUUUCUGACUAAUUUCACUGAAAAUAAAUCUAGAAGCCUUCAUCUUCAAGUGAUAAUUCUUAUCAACAGCUCUCUUGUAAAUGGUAGUAUGCUUUUCAUCCAGCAGCUUAGGCUUGCCUUCACCUGUGCUUGUAACUAUGUCUAUUCCAUACACUUCGUUCUCCUCAAAUUCUGCAUCAUCGACUCGUGUAUCUGGAUUGGAGAUGCUCAAUAUAACUUUGUUCCCAUCUAUCACAAACUGCUUUAGCUGGUGGCUAAGAACACCUUCAACGAUUUUGCAGUCAUAAGCAGCAGCAACCUUCUGAAUUGCGUCUGUCACAUCUUUGUUCUUCUUUCCUGGCCUUACAAGCCUUAAGGCAACUUCAGCAGCAGUAUUUGCUGCUGCAAUAACAUCAGCUGCCCUGCCAGUAACUGGUCCUGCUUGAAGAACAUGGGUGUGUGCCACUACAGCAAUGAACCCAUCUAUAUGGCAUCCCAUAUCAAUCUUCACCAUAUCGCCUUCUUCCAACACUGUCUCAUCGCUAGCAAGAGCAGAGAAAUGACAAACAGUGUUGUUUACAGAAAUGCAAGUAGGAAAGGCAACUCCUCUUUCAAUUUUCUUCUUCACAUUCUUGUACAUGUUACCUGUUUGCCUUUACACACAAACAGCACUGACCCAUAAAUAUUUUGCUUAUAAUCAAUACCAAAGAAACCCAUUUAUGUAAAAAGCAUACUCCCAUUAGCAUAGAUUGGGGCUUACUCCCUGAUAUAUGUAUCUCCCUUCUCACAAAUGUCAACAAUCUUAGCUUUCGGUUUGCAUUCUGAUACUACCAACUGCAACGCCUCUGUAAAAGUUCUCACCUUUCAGCGCAAACUCGAUGCCAAAUGAAACCCAAUUCAAUGGAACACAGAAGUAUCCAGUAAACUAGCUCAAAAUACUAACAGUGGCUAAACAUCAAAGAAAGUCAACAUUUGUGCACCAUGAAAAGAGAAAACCAAUGUAUAAUUGCACAUACACGUACACACAUAUAAUGCAGAUUGCAGAAUGAGUAAUAUCUAUAUACAUGUACAUUAAGAGAUAGAGAUAUUACUAUUGACGAUCUCAGCCGCGCUCUUGUAUUUGGUGACUACUUCAGGAGAAGUGAGAUCCAACUCUUUCUCCUCUCUUUCAUCGUCCGACAUCGUUUCACAGCUUUGAUAACUUUCAACACUCCUAAUCACCAGGAAUACGACUUCGAGUCAAUUAAAAAGCAACAAUAGAGCAUUAAAGGGCUAAAACGAUACCGAAAACGAAAUAAUUUGAUCGGAGAAGAAGCAGAACCCACAGAAAACUUGGCGGCGAGUAUAAGUUAACUGCUAGGGUUUAGCAGAGAUAAGAUAGAGUGAAGCAAAGCAGAGUAUAUGAGGACGAGGUGGCUCACUGGACUGCUAG
This 1968-nucleotide unclassified non-coding RNA is filed under the name Hevea brasiliensis (rubber tree). The record is from RNAcentral. Lineage: Eukaryota; Viridiplantae; Streptophyta; Magnoliopsida; Malpighiales; Euphorbiaceae.